GAUGAACGCUGGCGGCGUGCCUAAUACAUGCAAGUCGAGCGAACAGAUGAGGAGCUUGCUCCUCUGACGUUAGCGGCGGACGGGUGAGUAACACGUGGAUAACCUACCUAUAAGACUGGGAUAACUUCGGGAAACCGGAGCUAAUACCGGAUAAUAUAUUGAACCGCAUGGUUCAAUAGUGAAAGACGGUUUUGCUGUCACUUAUAGAUGGAUCCGCGCCGCAUUAGCUAGUUGGUAAGGUAACGGCUUACCAAGGCAACGAUGCGUAGCCGACCUGAGAGGGUGAUAGGCCACACUGGAGCUGAGACACGGUCCAGACUCCUACGGGAGGCAGCAGUAGGGAAUCUUCCGCAGUGGGCGAAAGCCUGACGGAGCAACGCCGCGUGAGUGAUGAAGGUCUUCGGAUCGUAAAACUCUGUUAUUAGGGAAGAACAAAUGUGUAAGUAACUAUGCACGUCUUGACGGUACCUAAUAAGAAAGCCACGGCUAACUACGUG
Molecule: ribosomal RNA, 497 nt
Filed under: uncultured bacterium
Lineage: Bacteria
Description: partial 16S ribosomal RNA
Rfam family: Bacterial small subunit ribosomal RNA
Source: RNAcentral